RNAcentral lists this ribosomal RNA (389 nucleotides) under uncultured bacterium. Its description in RNAcentral is "bacterial SSU rRNA". It matches the Rfam family "Bacterial small subunit ribosomal RNA", at positions 355 to 761 of the family's 1533-position model. The record is from RNAcentral.
UCGGGAAUUUUGGGCAAUGGGCGAAAGCCUGACCCAGCAACGCCGCGUGAAGGAUGAAGUAUUUCGGUAUGUAAACUUCGAAAGAAUAGGAAGAAUAAAUGACGGUACUAUUUAUAAGGUCCGGCUAACUACGUGCCAGCAGCCGCGGUAAUACGUAGGGACCAAGCGUUGCUCGGAUUUACUGGGCGUAAAGGGCGCGUAGGCGGCGUGGUAAGUCACUUGUGAAAUCUCCGAGCUUAACUCGGAACGGUCAAGUGAUACUGCUGUGCUAGAGUACAGAAGGGGCAAUCGGAAUUCUUGGUGUAGCGGUGAAAUGCGUAGAUAUCAAGAGGAACACCUGAGGUGAAGACGGGUUGCUGGGCUGACACUGACGCUGAGGCGCGAAAGCC